Molecule: ribosomal RNA, 403 nt
Filed under: uncultured bacterium
Lineage: Bacteria
Description: partial 16S ribosomal RNA
Rfam family: Bacterial small subunit ribosomal RNA
Source: RNAcentral
AUUGAACGCUGGCGGCAGGCCUAACACAUGCAAGUCGAGCGAGCGGCGGACGGGUGAGUAAUGUCUGGGGACUGCCCGAUAGCGGGGGAUAACUACUGGAAACGGUGGCUAAUACCGCAUACUAUCGGAUAACCCAUAUGGGAUUAGCUAGUAGGUGGGGUAAAGGCUCACCUAGGCGACGAUCUCUAGCUGGUCUGAGAGGCUGAUCAGCCACACUGGGACUGUGAAACGGCCCAGACUCCUACGGAGGCAGCAGGGGGGAAUAGUGCACAAUGGGGGCAAGCCUGAUGCAGCCGUGCGGGGUGUAUGAAGAAGGCCUUAGGGUUGUAAAGUACUUUCAGCGGGGAGGCGUUACCCGCAGAAGAAGCACCGGCUAACUCCGUGCCAGCCGCCGCGGUAAUAC